AUUGAACGCUGGCGGCAGGCCUAACACAUGCAAGUCGAGCGGAUGAAGGGAGCUUGCUCCUUGAUUCAGCGGCGGACGGGGGAGUAAUGCCUAGGAAUCUGCCUGGUAGUGGGGGAUAACGUCCGGAAACGGGGGCUAAUACCCCAUAAGGCCUGAGGGGGAAAGUGGGGGAGCUUCGGACCUCCCGCCAUCAGAUGAGCCUAGGUCGGAUUAGCUAGUUGGUGGGGUAAAGGCCUACCAAGGCGACGAUCCGUAACUGGUCUGAGAGGAUGAUCAGUCACACUGGAACUGAGACACGGUCCAGACUCCUACGGGAGGCAGCAGUGGGGAAUAUUGGACAAUGGGCGAAAGCCUGAUCCAGCCAUGCCGCGUGUGUGAAGAAGGUCUUCGGAUUGUAAAGCACUUUAAGUUGGGAGGAAGGGCAGUAAGUUAAUACCUUGCUGUUUUGACGUUACCAACAGAAUAAGCACCGGCUAACUUCGUG
RNAcentral lists this ribosomal RNA (484 nucleotides) under uncultured bacterium. RNAcentral describes it as "partial 16S ribosomal RNA". It matches the Rfam family "Bacterial small subunit ribosomal RNA", at positions 30 to 507 of the family's 1533-position model. The record is from RNAcentral.